UACGGAAGGCAGCAGUGGGGAAUAUUGCACAAUGGGCGAAAGCCUGAUGCAGCUAUGCCGCGUGUAUGAAGAAGGCCUUAGGGUUGUAAAGUACUUUCAUCGGGGAGGAAAAACAAAACUAAUAAUUUUAUUUCUUGACGUUACCUGAAAAAGAAGCACCGGCUAACUCCGUGCCAGCAGCCGCGGUAAUACGGAGGGUGCUAGCGUUAAUCAGAAUUACUGGGCGUAAAGAGCACGUAGGUGGUUUUUUUAAGUCAGAUGUGAAAUCCCUGGGCUUAACCUAGGAACUGCAUUUUGAAACUGAAACACUAGAGUAUCGUAGAGGGAGGUAGAAUUCUAGGUGUAGCGGUGAAAUGCGUAGAUAUCUGGAGGAAUACCUGUGGCGAAAGCGGCCUCCUAAACGAAUACUGACACUGAGGUGCGAAAGCGUGGGGAGCAAACAGGGAUUAGAUACC
This 455-nucleotide ribosomal RNA is filed under the name uncultured bacterium. Its description in RNAcentral is "bacterial SSU rRNA". It matches the Rfam family "Bacterial small subunit ribosomal RNA", at positions 340 to 786 of the family's 1533-position model. The record is from RNAcentral.